Molecule: ribosomal RNA, 176 nt
Filed under: uncultured bacterium
Lineage: Bacteria
Description: partial 16S ribosomal RNA
Rfam family: Bacterial small subunit ribosomal RNA
Source: RNAcentral
GCCGGAAUUGCUAGUAAUGGCAGGCCAGCAUACUGCCGUGAAUACGUUCCCGGGCCUUGUACACACCGCCCGUCAAACCAUGAGAGUUGGCAACACCCGAAGUCGGUAGUCUAACCGCAAGGAGGACGCCGCCGAAGGUGGGGUCGAUGAUUAGGGUUAAGUCGUAACAAGGUACC